RNAcentral lists this ribosomal RNA (218 nucleotides) under uncultured bacterium. RNAcentral's name for it is "partial 16S ribosomal RNA". It matches the Rfam family "Bacterial small subunit ribosomal RNA", at positions 1283 to 1500 of the family's 1533-position model. The record is from RNAcentral.
CCAUCCCAGUUCGGAUUGCAGUCUGAAACUCGAGUGCAUGAAGCUGGAAUCGCUAGUAAUCGCAAAUCAGAAUGUUGCGGUGAAUACGUUCCCGGGUCUUGUACACACCGCCCGUCACACCAUGGGAGUUGGAAAUGCCCGAAGUCAGUGACCCAACCAAAAGGAGGGAGCUGCCGAAGGCAGGUUCGAUGACUGGGGUGAAGUCGUAACAAGGUACC